RNAcentral lists this long non-coding RNA (1314 nucleotides) under Mus musculus (house mouse). RNAcentral describes it as "long non-coding RNA chr5:98882730-98884044". The record is from RNAcentral. Lineage: Eukaryota; Metazoa; Chordata; Mammalia; Rodentia; Muridae.
AGACAGAGACUCAGAGAGAGACAGACAGACAGACAAAGUGAGAGACAGAAAGACAGAUAGAAUAAGACAGAAGCAGCAACUGAGACAGAGACAGACAGACAGACAGACAGACAGACAUUUUAAGAAAAUAAUUCUUUUUUAAAAAAGCCUACAAGAAUAUCACUGAGUUGGUUUAUUUUGACCAUUUAUUCCUGGGCAUAGGGCUUACCAUUAAGUGUGAUUAAUAUACCCAGUGACACUCCAUUCCAUUGGAGAAAACUAAUUUUUUUUCCUUUGCAAGUGGGUAUCAAUUGCAGACAGGCUCUUCAUUGGGAGUGGACCCUUGUCUACUUCCUGUUUGCAGCGCUGGGACCCCCCAUCUGGCUCAAAUCUAUACAUUCUAUUUCUGAUAACUGUUUCCUAGAAUUCCAGCUAAGGGAUUCCCCAUAUCCAUGCAGUAUUUUAAGAAUUCUUCGUUGUAACCCGUGUGAAUAAUAUAUAAUUUAAGGAAUUUAAUGCUGUAGAGUGGAACUGGAAUAUCGAGUGCCUUUACCUCGGGAUUGCAGUAUUCCAGGUUAAAUCCUAUCCUAACUAGCUGCGUAUUCACCGCUGGUCAUCUAUUCGCUGACACAAUGCUUUACUAUCUCUGUAGAAAACUUGUAUUACCCAUUUAAUAUUUCAUAAAAAAUGUGAGGAACAGUAUCACCAGUCUGACUUAUACAAUGCUUAUGUAACGACACUAGUCAGUUAAUCUUGAAGCUUUACAUUUUCUCCAUGCUACCGAGUAGCAAAUGUCUGAACAUGUUGAAUCAAGGUUGGGUUAGAGAAUAGCUAUGCAUUCCUGACACGUAAGGAUGAAUAAGCAACUGAGUAAGGAAGCUUGGGUAAAUCUGAUUUCUCAGUAUUUCUAUGUGGCUUUUGAAUGAUAAAACGAUCUCCACUUUUCUAAAGACAAAGCUUUCUCUUCUACUUUUCACAUUAGCUUCUGUAAAUGUUUUAGUUGAAAAUUUAAUGCUUGUACAGUCCAUGGCAAUUGGAAUAUAUAUUAUAUGUAUAUGGAAAAAGUUUAAAGAUGCUUGUAAUUUAUUUAAUGACUGUUGCCUUUCUAUAUUGGUAAUGACUUUUUUCCUUACUAGGUGAGAAAAACAUCUUUCUUACUAUAGUUCCUAGAUAGGACAGGACAUUUAGUUCCUUAGUCGGGUCCAUUCCAAGGCUGUGGCAGUAACUGUGAAGGGUUCUUCACUACCGAUGUGUUAAGCUUUCCUGAACUUAUAUCAUUCUCCUCCAGUAACAAAGACCUUUCGUCCUAUAUUACAAAAAUAAAAACAGCUCAAU